Long non-coding RNA from Sphaeramia orbicularis (orbiculate cardinalfish), 2334 nucleotides. RefSeq lists it as uncharacterized. Lineage: Eukaryota; Metazoa; Chordata; Actinopteri; Kurtiformes; Apogonidae. The record is from RefSeq and is a predicted model, not a curated record. The transcript is spliced from 2 exons.
GUGUUAGAUUUUGGCAAUUUUGAAACAAGCAGUAACAAUAAAUGCACAAACUCUUCUAGCAGAGACUUUUAACAGCAGACAAGCAUUGAUAGUCAGUGCUUGGUUUCCUUUGUUCCUUUUAGUUUUUUCAGCUGCGUCACAUCGGAGCAAUAUUAAGACAAUUCAACAAGACGUGGAUACGUUGCACUGAAGUUUGUACAGCGAUAAACUGUGUCAUGACAAAAGAGGCUUAAUUAAGAUGGAACGGACAACGGUUCAUUUGCAAACGACUGAAGAAAGCCAUGUACUUUUAAGAGUAGCUGCUUCAUGUCCAAACAAUGUCUGAUUUGUUAUCGCUCUUGGGGUACGUUCACACUGCAGUUGAAAGUGACCAAAUCUGAUUUUUUUCCAGUCUUCUGCAACUUCAAUCGGUGCACAAACAUAUGGAAUCUGAUGUUAGCAUUUCAAUGUGGUCCUUAAUCAGAUACUGGUCUGAGAUUUUUCAACGUGACCUCAGUCUGAAUCAUGAGGAAAGGACUUUUUUUCCGAAAUGAAGCUGGCGUGGCAGCGUCUUAAAAUGUAACUAGUGCGUUAACCUGUGGGUAUCCAUGGGUUCUAGAUGUGGUAGUUUUUCUGCUGUUGUGUAUUCGUUCAUCUUGUACCGCAUUUGUCCAGCAGCCACCGCCAAAGAGUUUUAGGUAUAGCCAUGUGAUUGUAAGGCUAUUGUAUUCCAAAAUUACUAAUAUAUCCCCAAAUAUUGGUCCUAUCAACUUGCCGUUUUCGCUAGUCUGUUCCUUGACCAAAAAUUCAAAAGUAUGCCAAAUUGCAGCAGUCAGCUCUCUCGGGAUUUUACGUGAAUCCUGAGACACAUACACACACGCACACAGAGGCCACUUGGCUUUUAUAAUAUAGAUAUCGGUAACGGCCACCGGAUACUGCAGAAAAAUGCAGGCUCCCAAAGUCAAUCAUUCAUUCCCCCAGGAUUCAUUGUGGUCUCAUCCAUUUUAUUUUCAAUUUCUUAUAAGUGAUCUGGUCCAUCUUUAAAUUUAUCCUCAGUUAAUCAGAUCUCAGGGUGAAGAGGGUUUGAUGUCUGCCAUGUCUGGCUUUGAUUGGCAGGUCUGUAUGAUGGCUCACCCACCUGCCAAGUCUGACUUUAGGAGUUUUGGUUUAUUUAAAAAACAUAACAAGCCUGUAAAAAUACUGUCUUACACAGUUUUAGAUAAAGUUUCCUAUUUUACAGAUUAGCAUUAGCUUCUGUUUAGCAUUAGUUCACCUAUUACCCCUCAGCUUCCAGCAAUUCUGCUGCUUUUGUCCAAAUAUGGUCUCUUCUAGCUCCAGAAGCUACCAUGAAAAUAGCCAAAUUGCAAACUACUACCAUCAAAAUGGCAGUUUAGAAGUCAAUGGGUGUUGUCACAUUUUGCUAAUUAUAUACAGUCUAGGGCAGGGGUGGUUAGAAGAAGAUUUGUCACAGCUCUGAACUGAAGGGAGUCACAGGCUGUAAAAUAGUUCUUAUACAGCAUACACUCAAAACUGCAAGGCAGGAAAAUGUAUGUAACAUGUAUGACUGAGAAGGUUUGCAUUGUCGUGUCACAUGUAAAAAUCCAGUCUUUCUGUCACAUUAGGCAUCCACCAAUUGUUGCUGUUUCCAAUGUCAUUUAAAUAUUGACUUAUUUUAAUGUUGGUCACAUCCUGAUGUAAAAAAAAAAUACUUGAUAUUGAACAGGCAAACAAAACAUACUCAUUCAACUGUAACAUCACCUUUUAUUUGACUGUAAGUAAAAUUAGCCAUUUGGAAGUUCAACUCAAAGAGACAUCACUGGGUGAAUCGGUGCAGGGACCGGGUUAUGGCUCUGGAGAAAAAGAACCAGUCAAGCAAAAUGUACUUGGCAGACGGACAAAAAAACAAAAAAACAAAAAACAUCAGGGUUGAAAUGGGACUGAAUCAGGUCUGAGCUGCCCAGCAACAGAGGAAUGUUAAGAUUGAAUGGUUUGUUUUGUAUGGCUGAUAAUCAGUAUCUGAAAUUACAGAUACUAUAAUUUAAAAGUAUAUUGAAGAGAAAUUGGAAAUAGUUAUUGUUGUGUUGAAAGAUACAUUUUUUUUCAUAGGAAAAUGUCUUGUUAAAUAGUAAAACACUGACAGAAACCUCUUUACCACAUACAUAUAGUUAAUACUUGCAUAUUUCAGCUUAAAAGUAUAGUUUAAGGCUUUAACUUAUAGUGGAGUGUCUUCACUGUGUGUAUUAUACUCAAUGGACUGAUCUGAAAACUUGUUAUUUUUUUUCUUUUUUUUUGUGGAUGCGGUUCAGUUCAGGAGCCACAUUUUGGAAAAAUAAUGCAAAAAAAAAAAAAAAAAAA